RNAcentral lists this ribosomal RNA (502 nucleotides) under uncultured bacterium. RNAcentral describes it as "partial 16S ribosomal RNA". It matches the Rfam family "Bacterial small subunit ribosomal RNA", at positions 28 to 523 of the family's 1533-position model. The record is from RNAcentral.
GAUGAACGCUAGCGGCAGGCCUAACACAUGCAAGUCGAGGGGCAGCACAGAAACAGCAAUGUUUUGGUGGCGACCGGCGGACGGGUGCGUAACGCGUAUGCAACCUACCUUUAACAGGGGGAUAACGGAGAGAAAUUUCCACUAAUACCCCAUAACAUCGAUCAAGGCAUCUUGAUUGGUUGAAAACUCCGGUGGUUAACGAUGGGCAUGCGUUGUAUUCGGUCGUUGGUGAGGUAAUGGCUCACCCAGCCUACGAUACAUAGGGGGACUGGGAGGUAAGCCCCCCACACUGGUACUGAGACACGGACCAGACGCCUACGGGAGGCAGCAGGUGGGAAUAUUGGUCAAUGGGGGCAACCCUGAACCAGCCAUGCCGCGUGCAGGAAGACGGCUCUAUGAGUUGUAAACUGCUUUUAAACAGGGAUAAAGCACAGUAUGUAUACUGUGUUGAAGGUACUGUAAGAAUAAGGAUCGGCUAACUCCGUGCCAGCCGCCGCCGUAA